CCAGACUCCUACGGGAGGCAGCAGUGAGGAAUAUUGGUCAAUGGCCGAGAGGCUGAACCAGCCAAGUCGCGUGAGGGAAGAAUGUCCUAAGGAUUGUAAACCUCUUUUGUCGGGGAGCAAAAAGGCUCUGCGGAGUCGUAUUGAGAGUACCCGAAGAAAAAGCAUCGGCUAACUCCGUGCCAGCAGCCGCGGUAAUACGGGGGGUGCAAGCGUUGUCCGGAAUCAUUGGGCGUAAAGAGUUCGUAGGCGGCACGUAAAGUCUGGUGUUAAAGGCAGAGGCUCAACUUCUGUACGGCACUGGAUACUUGCGAGCUAGAAUGCGGUAGAGGUAAAGGGAAUUCCUGGUGUAGCGGUGAAAUGCUUAGAUAUCAGGAGGAACAUCGGUGGCGUAAGCGCUUUACUGGGCCGUAAUUGACGCUGAGGAACGAAAGCCAGGGUAGCAAAUGGGAUUAGAUACCCUAGUAUA
This 466-nucleotide ribosomal RNA is filed under the name uncultured bacterium. RNAcentral describes it as "bacterial SSU rRNA". It matches the Rfam family "Bacterial small subunit ribosomal RNA", at positions 331 to 794 of the family's 1533-position model. The record is from RNAcentral.